GACGAACGCUGGCGGCGUGCUUAACACAUGCAAGUCGAGCGGUAAGGCCCUUUCGGGGGUACGACGAGCGGCGAACGGGUGAGUAACACGUGGGUGACCUGCCCUCAGCUCUGGGAUAAGCCUGGGAAACUGGGUCUAAUACCGGAUAUGACUCCACGACGCAUGUUGUGGGGUGGAAAGCCUUGUGCGGCUGAGGAUGGGCCCGCGGCCUAUCAGCUUGUUGGUGGGGUGAUGGCCUACCAAGGCGACGACGGGUAGCCGGCCUGAGAGGGCGACCGGCCACACUGGGACUGAGACACGGCCCAGACUCCUACGGGAGGCAGCAGUGGGGAAUCUUGCGCAAUGGGCGAAAGCCUGACGCAGCGACGCCGCGUGAGGGAUGACGGCCU
Molecule: ribosomal RNA, 389 nt
Filed under: uncultured bacterium
Lineage: Bacteria
Description: bacterial SSU rRNA
Rfam family: Bacterial small subunit ribosomal RNA
Source: RNAcentral